RNAcentral lists this ribosomal RNA (429 nucleotides) under bacterium. Its description in RNAcentral is "partial 16S ribosomal RNA". It matches the Rfam family "Bacterial small subunit ribosomal RNA", at positions 355 to 776 of the family's 1533-position model. The record is from RNAcentral.
UAGGGAAUCUUCGGCAAUGGGGGCAACCCUGACCGAGCAACGCCGCGUGAGUGAAGAAGGUUUUCGGAUCGUAAAGCUCUGUUGUAAGAGAAGAACGUGUGUGAGAGUGGAAAGUUCACACAGUGACGGUAACUUACCAGAAAGGGACGGCUAACUACGUGCCAGCAGCCGCGGUAAUACGUAGGUCCCGAGCGUUGUCCGGAUUUAUUGGGCGUAAAGCGAGCGCAGGCGGUUUAAUAAGUCUGAAGUUAAAGGCAGUGGCUUAACCAUUGGUCGGUUUGGAAGCUGUUAAACUUGAGUGCAGAAUGGGAUAGUGGAAUUCCAUGUGUAGCGGUGAAAUGCGUAGAUAUAUGGGGGAACACCGGUGGCGAAAGCGGGUCUCUGGUCUGUAACUGACGCUGAGGCUCGAAAGGGUGGGGAGCAAACAGG